Molecule: long non-coding RNA, 515 nt
Organism: Chelonia mydas (Green sea turtle)
Lineage: Eukaryota; Metazoa; Chordata; Testudines; Cheloniidae
Exons: 3
Source: RefSeq, a predicted model, not a curated record
GCAGUUGAAAUUGUUUGUUUGUUAUUUUAAAUCUUUCCCUAAAGUUACAAAUUAUUAAUGCCUAAUUAUAAUUUUACUUCUAAUUUAGCUAAGGCUCAGACUGGCUUUUUUAGUUCAACCUAUUAUGCCAUAAAACAGGUCAUGAUGCCCUUCACUUGUUAUGAUAAAUACAUAUCUCAGUCAUGUCAGUUAUUUAUUGGACCUUAUCAUCCACCUUGUGCCACGAAGGCAGAAUAUAAACUGUCUAUCUUUGCACACCAGCAUGGAGCAAGCAGAAGUUGACUCAGAAAUUGAAUUUCCUGUUCCUUCUAAGCAGCAGGGGAGACGAAGAGCUAAAAGUUCUGAGAGAAAAGAGUCUCCAUCUCCUCCACUGUGGUGCAUUGUAGUGAUUCUUGGGAUCCUCUGCCUGGCUUCGCUGGUGACUGCAAGGGUCUUAGGUUCCCAGAUUUUUCAGAUCUCCCAAAUACCCUGUAGACAGCAGGAAAACCUGAACCAGUUUCAGGAAAUUAUCCCAG